ACACUUAGCUGGCAAGGGAGAUACUGUGAUCACGAAGGUGGUUUUCCCAGGACCAGGCUUAUCCAUUGCACUCUGGAUGUGCUGACCCCUUCGAUUUCCCCAAAUUUGUGGUAGCAGGGGACUGUGUUUUCUCUCUCCCCUG
This is a small nuclear RNA of Cricetulus griseus (Chinese hamster), 142 nucleotides long. Its record names the gene U1. It matches the Rfam family "U1 spliceosomal RNA". From Rfam's summary of the family: U1 is a small nuclear RNA (snRNA) component of the spliceosome (involved in pre-mRNA splicing). Its 5' end forms complementary base pairs with the 5' splice junction, thus defining the 5' donor site of an intron. Lineage: Eukaryota; Metazoa; Chordata; Mammalia; Rodentia; Cricetidae. The record is from Ensembl.